GAUGAAGAACGUAGUGAAAUGCGAUAAGUAGUGUGAAUUGCAGAAUUCAGUGAAUCAUCGAAUCUUUGAACGCACAUUGCGCCUUUUGGUAUUCCGAAAGGCACACCUGUUUGAGCGUCAUGAAUACCUCAAUCUCCAUCUUUUCUUCGGAUUGAUGGGUGACUUGGAUGUUGAGCCCUGCUGGUAUGCUAUAUCAGCUGGCUUUAAACUUAUUAGCCGGCUCUGUACUGGAUCGGUUUGACUCGACGUGAUAAUAUUAUCGUUGAGGAUGCAUGUCUCAUGCAGCCGGAAAGUAUCAAAGCAGCUUCUAGCUUGCCUUUAGUGCACUUUUACAUUUUAGACCUCAGAUCAGGUGGGACUACCCGCUGAACUUAAGCAUAUCAAUAAGCGGAGGA
RNAcentral lists this unclassified non-coding RNA (395 nucleotides) under soil metagenome. RNAcentral describes it as "partial contains 5.8S ribosomal RNA, internal transcribed spacer 2, and large subunit ribosomal RNA". The stretch from base 1 to 120 matches the Rfam family "5.8S ribosomal RNA", at positions 35 to 154 of the family's 154-position model. The record is from RNAcentral.